This 160-nucleotide ribosomal RNA is filed under the name uncultured bacterium. Its description in RNAcentral is "partial 16S ribosomal RNA". It matches the Rfam family "Bacterial small subunit ribosomal RNA", at positions 371 to 530 of the family's 1533-position model. The record is from RNAcentral.
AUGGGCGCAGCCUGAACCAGCCAUGCCGCGUGCAGGAAGACGGCCCUAUGGGUUGUAAACUGCUUUUGUACCGGAAAAACCUCUUUACGUGUAAAUAGUUGAAUGUACGGUAAGAAUAAGGAUCGGCUAACUCCGUGCCAGCAGCCGCGGUAAUACGAAU